GUGCUCGCUUCUGCAGGACAUAUACUAAAAUUGGAACGAUACAGAGGAGAUUAGCAUGGCUCCUGCGCAAGGAUGACACGCAAAUUCGUGAAGCGUUCCGUAUUUUU
This 107-nucleotide small nuclear RNA is filed under the name Bison bison bison. Lineage: Eukaryota; Metazoa; Chordata; Mammalia; Artiodactyla; Bovidae. The record is from RNAcentral.